UACGGAGGGUGCGAGCGUUAUCCGGAUUCACUGGGUUUAAAGGGUGCGUAGGCGGGUUUGUAAGUCAGUGGUGAAAUCUCCAGGCUUAACCUGGAAACUGCCAUUGAUACUAUAGAUCUUGAAUUUUCUGGAGGUAAGCGGAAUAUGUCAUGUAGCGGUGAAAUGCUUAGAUAUGACAUAGAACACCAAUUGCGAAGGCAGCUGGCUACACAAAUAUUGACACUGAGGCACGAAAGCGUGGGGAUCAAACAGG
Molecule: ribosomal RNA, 253 nt
Filed under: uncultured bacterium
Lineage: Bacteria
Description: partial 16S ribosomal RNA
Rfam family: Bacterial small subunit ribosomal RNA
Source: RNAcentral